CGGGGUGUAGCGCAGUUGGCUAGCGCGCCACGUUCGGGACGUGGAGGCCGCAGGUUCGAGUCCUGUCACCCCGACCA
RNAcentral lists this transfer RNA (77 nucleotides) under Prevotellaceae bacterium. RNAcentral's name for it is "tRNA-Pro". It matches the Rfam family "tRNA". Rfam says of the family: Transfer RNA (tRNA) molecules are approximately 80 nucleotides in length. Their secondary structure includes four short double-helical elements and three loops (D, anti-codon, and T loops). Lineage: Bacteria; Pseudomonadati; Bacteroidota; Bacteroidia; Bacteroidales; Prevotellaceae. The record is from RNAcentral.